CAUUAAUCAGGAACGAAAGUUAGGGGAUCGAAGACGAUCAGAUACCGUCGUAGUCUUAACCAUAUACUAUGCCGACUAGGGAUCGGACGAUGUUAUUUUUUGACGCGUUCGGCACCUUACGAGAAAUCAAAGUGCUUGGGCUCCAGGGGGAGUAUGGUCGCAAGGCUGAAACUUAGAGAAAUUGACGGAAGGGCACCACCAGGGGUGGAGCCUGCGGCUUAAUUUGACUCAACACGGGGAAACUCACCAGGUCCAGACACAAUGAGGAUUGACAGAUUGAGAGCUCUUUCUUGAUUUUGUGGGUGGUGGUGCAUGGCCGUUCUUAGUUGGUGGAGUGAUUUGUCUGCUUAAUUGCGAUAACGAACGAGACCUUAACCUGCUAAAUAGCCCGUAUUGCUUUGGCAGUACGCCGGCUUCUUAGAGGGACUAUCGGCUCAAGCCGAUGGAAGUUUGAGGCAAUAACAGGUCUGUGAUGCCCUUAGAUGUUCUGGGCCGCACGCGCGCUACACUGACGGAGCCAGCGAGUACUCCCUUGGCCGGAAGGCCCGGGUAAUCUUGUUAAACUCCGUCGUGCUGGGGAUAGGGCA
This 587-nucleotide ribosomal RNA is filed under the name uncultured fungus. RNAcentral's name for it is "SSU rRNA". It matches the Rfam family "Eukaryotic small subunit ribosomal RNA", at positions 971 to 1583 of the family's 1831-position model. Lineage: Eukaryota; Fungi. The record is from RNAcentral.